UGCCGGGUCGUUCAAUGGUAGGACACCAGACUUUGGAUCUGGGUAUUCUAGGUUCGACUCCUAGCCCGGCAGCCA
RNAcentral lists this transfer RNA (75 nucleotides) under Candidatus Gottesmanbacteria bacterium RIFCSPHIGHO2_01_FULL_46_14. RNAcentral's name for it is "tRNA-Gln". It matches the Rfam family "tRNA". From Rfam's summary of the family: Transfer RNA (tRNA) molecules are approximately 80 nucleotides in length. Their secondary structure includes four short double-helical elements and three loops (D, anti-codon, and T loops). The record is from RNAcentral. Lineage: Bacteria; Candidatus Gottesmaniibacteriota.